Molecule: long non-coding RNA, 1320 nt
Organism: Canis lupus familiaris (dog)
Lineage: Eukaryota; Metazoa; Chordata; Mammalia; Carnivora; Canidae
Exons: 3
Source: RefSeq, a predicted model, not a curated record
AAGUCCAAAAUUAAGGCAUUGGCAGGACCAUGCUCCCUCCAAAGGCUGUAAGGGAAAAUCCCACCGUGUAGCUUCUGGCUUCUGGUGGCUCAAGGUGUCCUUAGCUUAUGUUCCUUUUACUCUAGUCUCUGCUUCCAUCAUCACAUGGUUUUCUCCCUGUGUCUCCGUACGUCCUUUUCUGUCUCUUAGGAGGACGCUUGUCAUUGGAUUUAGGGCCCGCCCUAAUCCUGUGUGAUCUCAUCUUAAUAUUUACCCUAAUUACAUCUGCAAUAGUGCAUUUACACUAUUUCUAAAUAAGGUCAUAUUCCAGGUGGUCAUUGAUGAGGGAGCAGAAGACUAGCUGGGAGCGUAGCAGAAACCGACAUCCUGCAAACCACACCCCCCACUCUGGGGUGGAAGCUGUGACCUUCCUUAGGCACUCCUGGCUGUCCCUAAACCUGAGGAAAGGAAAGACGAAUGGUUAACUAAUAGAGAUCACAGUCCUGCAAGAUAAGUCUCCCUCAAGUUACAAAUGUCUUGGUGAUUUACAAGAAAAAAGCAUUCUUAUCAAAUAAUCUAACUCCCCAAAAGAAAUGUAGAUAAAAUUAAAUCUCCUUACAACCUGCAGGCCGUGGACAAAUACUUCAGGGGGCAGAGUACAGCAUUCCUCAAGGAACUUGAAACUGCCUUAAAGUUAAUGCUUUGCUAGAAGAGAAAAGCAACCUUAGCUUGAUGUCAGCCAGACCUCCAGGAUCCUCUGGUUCCGGGCUAACCCCCCAGGACAUCGGUAGACUCUACUCAAUAUCCUCAUGCAGAACCUUGAAAUCUAUACUGACUUUGGCUGCAAGUCAUAGAAAACCCAACUAAAAGCAGCUUGAAGCAAAGAAGGCAUUUAUAUCUUACAUAAUCAGAAGACUGGAGAACAAGUUCCCCCAACUUGCUAAUGACAUAAUCAAGGGCCCAGAUCCUUUCCAUUUUUUCCACUUGGCCAUCCUCUAGGGUGCUGGUUUGUCCUUAGUUUGUCUCCUCACAAUGCAAAAGAUUUCAUCAGCUUCCAGCAUGACAUCUGUAGGCAAGAAUUUCCAAAAAUCCUUUUUUAUUCCCCACCCCAAAUCCUCUUUUUAAAUUAAGGUGAAAUUCAUACAUGAAAUUAACCUUCUUUAAAAUGAAUAAUUCGGGGACAUUUGGUAUAUUCACAGUGUUGUGUAACCAUCACCUCUCUCUAGUUCCAAAAUAUGUUCAUCUCUCCCAAAGGAGACCCCCAUUCCCACUAAACAAUCAUUCCCUAUUCCUCCUUCCCUCAUCCCUGGGCAACCAUUCAUCUACCUUCUGUCUCUAAGG